Molecule: long non-coding RNA, 658 nt
Organism: Trichoplusia ni (cabbage looper)
Lineage: Eukaryota; Metazoa; Arthropoda; Insecta; Lepidoptera; Noctuidae
Exons: 3
Source: RefSeq, a predicted model, not a curated record
UCUGAUAAUUGACGUUUCAUUACAACGUUCAAAAUGAUAGUGUCAAAAUAAAAAUCAAAACAAAAUGUAUUAUGAAAGUUUGCAGAUAAAUACUGCAAAAGAAAUGGAUAUAAGUCAAUGUAAUUUAUAUUGCGCUACCUAAGUACAGUGGCAAAAUGAAAUUCCCGGUUCCUUAGUUAAUUUUACAAUGUACAAACAUGCAUUGGCCUGUUUCUGACAUAAUCCAAAACAUGAUUUUAUUUACAAACAUUUUUACAUAACCGUUAAACAAACCAAUCUGAAAAUGCAUUCUUACCCAAAUUCCCAGCAAACAAUAGAUACGCUCCUGAUAUGAAAGAACUGUAAUGUUUUGUUCAUUCUAUCAAAACAUGGGAAGAAAGAGAGACAAAAUGAUUAACGAAUCAAAAUGGUUAAGCAAGUCAAUCAUCCCCAUAUGAAGAUGGACGAACUUUAAGAAGCUGCCAGUAAUUGCGAAAUCACCAGGAGGUUAGAUCGUACGAAAAUAAUUCCAGAAUCCCAUAACCAUGUCUUCUAAAGACUUGAUGACGACCCGCGAUAAAAUAAACUCCUGCAUAAAUAAAUCAAAACCUCUUCGGAAACUGAAGAAACUAAUCCAGUCUGUCACAGGAGGCAAAGAUAGUUGCGGAUUUGUACAAGU